RNAcentral lists this small RNA (109 nucleotides) under Chryseobacterium koreense CCUG 49689. RNAcentral describes it as "Flavo-1 RNA". It matches the Rfam family "Flavo-1 RNA". Lineage: Bacteria; Pseudomonadati; Bacteroidota; Flavobacteriia; Flavobacteriales; Weeksellaceae. The record is from Rfam by way of RNAcentral.
CAAUAGCCCCGAUCGCAGUGGAAAUCCUUUUUUGGUGAUUUUCGGAACUUCGAAGAUUUCAGUCCUCUUCAUGCACCAAAAAAGAUUGCAACGGAGAGCGGGACGGGUU